RNAcentral lists this ribosomal RNA (282 nucleotides) under uncultured bacterium. RNAcentral's name for it is "partial 16S ribosomal RNA". It matches the Rfam family "Bacterial small subunit ribosomal RNA", at positions 332 to 632 of the family's 1533-position model. The record is from RNAcentral.
UUGAGCCUACGGGACGCAGCAGUGGGGAAUAUUGCACAAUGGGGGAAACCCUGAUGCAGCGACGCCGCGUGAGUGAAGAAGUAUUUCGGUAUGUAAACUUCUAUCAGCAGGGAAGAAAAUGACGGUACCUGACUAAGAAGCCCCGGCUAACUACGUGCCAGCAGCCGCGGUAAUACGUAGGGGGCAAGCGUUAUCCGGAUUUACUGGGUGUAAAGGGAGCGUAGGCGGUUUAGCAAGUCAGAAGUGAAAGCCCGGGGCUCAACUCCGGGACUGCUUUUGAAA